Molecule: long non-coding RNA, 1532 nt
Organism: Toxorhynchites rutilus septentrionalis
Lineage: Eukaryota; Metazoa; Arthropoda; Insecta; Diptera; Culicidae
Exons: 2
Source: RefSeq, a predicted model, not a curated record
UUACGUAUUAGCGUCACCGGAGUUGACACUCAGUUAUUUUUUGUAUUGUUGUUGCCUUGUUGUUUGCAGUGUUUAUUAUUUUUUAGUGCUCGCCGUCGAAAGCGGCGGUCUCUCGCAAGCAAACCUGUGUUCCAUCGAUUGGCCGGUUAGUUUGAAACAUAGAAGAUGAUUCAGCAAGGCACCAACAAUACAAAAGUUAACUGAGUACCCAAGCGAAAAAUAAAAUAGCGGUCCAUUGAAUUUCGGCUCCGGUGAUGCAUUAGCGUCGCCGUUGUCGAAAGUCGGACUCACGUGAAUUUUGGGCUGCUGUGCUUUUGGUGUGCGGUGUGUCCAAGAGGUAAAAGAAAAACAAAGUUCCAAGCUGACAACGAUCAGAAAAAACACAAGAAAAACAGUGAACCGUUCCAUUAUUUGAACUUUUUUUUUGUUGAGGAAUGUAAGUGAGAACAACUUCUUGAAAGACUUACUUCAGAGUGUGUAUUACAAACGGGAGGAGCUUGAACGAGCAACGCGCGCGAAAAAAAAUUUCACCAUCAUUUAUAGCGCGAAAAAAGUUACAUAUCAUUCCCAUAACGGGUUCGACCGUCGGCGGAAACAUUACCACAGAUUGGAUUAGCUGGGCCAGGAAAAAUUCCAUUACAAGAAGUUGUAAAUUGUGACCAUUGAAGGCAAUCACUAAACAGGAACGGCUGAAGGUGCUGAUUGAAGACAUCUUUCCAGCGAAUGGUGACAUCAUAAUGGACGACGAGACCAACUUGACGCUGGACGACAACGUCUGGCAGGGGACCCAGUACUUGAUGUCCGCCACCAAGUAGAUAAGAAAUGGCGUUAAAUAUCUCUCACGCCAAUUUCCCGAAGAAGAUCCUACUGUGGCUGACGAUUAGCACGAAGGGAAUGUCCAAACCGUUGUUCUUUUCUUCACGGCUUGCGGUGAACGGACAGAUACACAGUACGAAGUGUCGGGAGCUGCCGACUUCAUCGAAAAGUAUUACGCGAAAGAGAAUGGGGUCUUCUGGCCGGACAUAGCCUUGGUCCAUUAUGAAAAGAGAUCACUGGAGGAGGUGGACCGGCUGAAGAUAAACGUUAUAUCCAAGUCCCAUCUGUGGUAUUUCGUUUUCAAAAGAAAAUAAAAAAACACGGUAAUUUUGUGUAUUUCACCAAUGCACUUACACCAACAGUUGCAGUCCGAAGGAAGCAAGGCGUGAAUGGUGAUUGCCAGAAGCUCCGGUAACUUGGUUGGGAAGUUCUUAUGCAUUAUCUUUAUAGUCCGGAUGUUUGCAUCAUCAGCAGUAACAUCAAAUUCUGACUGCUGCGUUUGUGGCGGCAUGUAGGGCCUGUUUCUGCCAGAGGUAAAGGAACGUGCGGAUGUAGUCAUCCGCUUGUAUGGAGAGAAAGUCAUAUACGAAGAUGAAUUGAUCAGAAGGAAAGAAAGGAUUCUAUGAGAAACAGUGUGUUAAUUAUUUGGUAUUGUUAUAAAUUUGAAAGGACUUAAAUUUCUAAGUGGAAGAUUAAAGAAAAAUUAUGAAAACUAA